UAGUGGCGAACGGGUGAGUAACACGUGGGCAAUCUGCCCUUCACUCUGGGACAAGCCCUGGAAACGGGGUCUAAUACCGGAUACCACUCCUGCCCGCAUGGGUGGGGGUUGAAAGCUCCGGCGGUGAAGGAUGAGCCCGCGGCCUAUCAGCUUGUUGGUGGGGUAAUGGCCCACCAAGGCGACGACGGGUAGCCGGCCUGAGAGGGCGACCGGCCACACUGGGACUGAGACACGGCCCAGACUCCUACGGGAGGCAGCAGUGGGGAAUAUUGCACAAUGGGCGAAAGCCUGAUGCAGCGACGCCGCGUGAGGGAUGACGGCCUUCGGGUUGUAAACCUCUUUCAGCAGGGAAGAAGCGAAAGUGACGGUACCUGCAGAAGAAGCGCCGGCUAACUACGUGCCAGCAGCCGCGGUAAUACGUAGGGCGCAAGCGUUGUCCGGAAUUAUUGGGCGUAAAGAGCUCGUAGGCGGCUUGUCACGUCGGAUGUGAAAGCCCGAGGCUUAACCUCGGGUCUGCAUUCGAUACGGGCUAGCUAGAGUGUGGUAGGGGAGAUCGGANUUCCU
RNAcentral lists this ribosomal RNA (564 nucleotides) under Streptomyces sp. 337D01. RNAcentral describes it as "bacterial SSU rRNA". It matches the Rfam family "Bacterial small subunit ribosomal RNA", at positions 93 to 671 of the family's 1533-position model. Lineage: Bacteria; Bacillati; Actinomycetota; Actinomycetes; Kitasatosporales; Streptomycetaceae. The record is from RNAcentral.